UACGAGAGGCCCAACCGUUAUUCGGAUUUACUGGGCUUAAAGAGUUCGUAGGCCGCGCGGAAAGUAGGGUGUGAAAGCCCUCGGCUCAACCGAGGAACUGCGCUCUAAACUACCGUGCUUGAGGAACCUAGAGGUGAGCAGAACUGAUGGUGGAGCGGUGAAAUGCGUUGAUAUCAUCAGGAAUACCGGAGGCGAAGGCGGCUCACUGGGGGUUUUCUGACGCUGAGGAACGAAAGCCAGGGGAGCAAACGGG
RNAcentral lists this ribosomal RNA (253 nucleotides) under uncultured bacterium. Its description in RNAcentral is "partial 16S ribosomal RNA". It matches the Rfam family "Bacterial small subunit ribosomal RNA", at positions 524 to 776 of the family's 1533-position model. The record is from RNAcentral.